Long non-coding RNA from Vigna unguiculata (cowpea), 477 nucleotides. RefSeq lists it as uncharacterized. The record is from RefSeq and is a predicted model, not a curated record. NCBI's taxonomy places the organism in Eukaryota, Viridiplantae, Streptophyta, Magnoliopsida, Fabales, Fabaceae.
UUCACAGCCGUCAAACCCUUUUCUCUCUCUCUCGCAACAGGAACCUCUGCUAGGGUUUGAUACCAGCCCUUGGACAAGACAACUCUAAGCUCCGCUCUACUCCAACCUUUUGGCUCACUCUUAGGACUGUGGUGCUCUCUGUGUGUGUGUCGGAACUCCCCGCUAGCCCAUUUAUAGACGUGAGAACUCUUGGCAGUGGUGAUGGAAAUAGGGAUGCUGCAGCUUGAGGCAUUGGACAAGUGUUGGGCCCACCGUGGGGCCCAUUACCGGCAGAUUCUGUUAUUUAUGUUUUUGUGUACGAACAAGAUCUACCAUUCUUAUUUGUGUUAUCUUUCAGUUUAGUUCUGGUUGGGCCAUGUGGGGCCCUUUUCUUGAAAACCGGGGAUAUUUGAAGUAUUGUAUACAUUCUUACCCUAAACCCAGUACUCUCUGACUAUUCAUGCAUGUGAUGUUUUAUUAAUUGAGGUUAUUUAGUUU